ACCGACUAAUGUUGAAAAAUUAGCGGAUGACUUGUGGCUGGGGGUGAAAGGCCAAUCAAACCGGGAGAUAGCUGGUUCUCCCCGAAAGCUAUUUAGGUAGCGCCUCGUGAACUCAUCUUCGGGGGUAGAGCACUGUUUCGGCUAGGGGGCCAUCCCGGCUUACCAAACCGAUGCAAACUCCGAAUACCGAAGAAUGUUAUCACGGGAGACACACGGCGGGUGCUAACGUCCGUCGUGAAGAGGGAAACAACCCAGACCGCCAGCUAAGGUCCCAAAGUCAU
This 281-nucleotide ribosomal RNA is filed under the name Vibrio vulnificus. Its description in RNAcentral is "partial 23S ribosomal RNA". It matches the Rfam family "Bacterial large subunit ribosomal RNA", at positions 778 to 1056 of the family's 2925-position model. The record is from RNAcentral. Lineage: Bacteria; Pseudomonadati; Pseudomonadota; Gammaproteobacteria; Vibrionales; Vibrionaceae.